AUGAACGCUAGCGACAGGCCUAACACAUGCAAGUCGAGGGGCAGCACAAGGAGCAAUCUGAGGUGGCGACCGGCGCACGGGUGAGUAACACGUAUGCAACCUGCCUGUAAGCGGGGAAUAACCCGUUGAAAGACGGACUAAUACCGCAUAAUACUAAAUUACUGCAUGGUAAUUUAUUUAAACAUUUAUGGCUUACAGAUGGGCAUGCGCAUGAUUAGCUAGUUGGAGAGGUAACAGCUCCCCAAGGCAACGAUCAUUAGGGGUUCUGAGAGGAAGGUCCCCCACACUGGUACUGAGACACGGACCAGACUCCUACGGGAGGCAGCAGUGAGGAAUAUUGGUCAAUGGACGAGAGUCUGAACCAGCCAAGUCGCGUGCAGGAAGAAUGUUCCCUAUGGAUUGUAAACUGCUUUUGCAGGGGAAUAAAGUGCAUCACGUGUGAUGUUUUGUAUGUACUCUGCGAAUAAGGAUCGGCUAACUCCGUGCCAGCCGCCGC
Molecule: ribosomal RNA, 496 nt
Filed under: uncultured bacterium
Lineage: Bacteria
Description: bacterial SSU rRNA
Rfam family: Bacterial small subunit ribosomal RNA
Source: RNAcentral